UACUCUCAACCCCUGGGGUCUUUUAAACGGACCACCUCGGGCUUGGAUCACGGACGCUGCCGUCCCCCCUCGGGGGUGUGGCUCGUCUGGAAUACAUGAGCUGACCUGUCUGCGAACAGCACGGUUUGACUCGGCGUAAUAAAUCCAUUUUUCGUCGGGGACACCCUUCGCGGGGCGGCCGGGCUCGCGGUCUUCGGGUUGCUUACAAUCGAAUAGUCCCAUCUAU
RNAcentral lists this unclassified non-coding RNA (226 nucleotides) under uncultured Basidiomycota. Its description in RNAcentral is "sequence contains ITS2". The record is from RNAcentral. Lineage: Eukaryota; Fungi; Basidiomycota.